RNAcentral lists this ribosomal RNA (768 nucleotides) under uncultured bacterium. RNAcentral describes it as "bacterial SSU rRNA". It matches the Rfam family "Bacterial small subunit ribosomal RNA", at positions 33 to 782 of the family's 1533-position model. The record is from RNAcentral.
ACGCUGGCGGCGUGGAUUAGGCAUGCAAGUCGAACGCGAAAGUCUUUCUUCGGAGAGGCGAGUAGAGUGGCGGACGGGUUAGUAACGCGUAGGUAAUCUACCUUUAAGAGGGGGAUAGCCCCGGGAAACCGGGAUUAAUACCGCAUGUGUUCCGGAGUGAUUCGGAAUAAAGGUGGCCUCUGUUUCAAGCUACCGCUUAGAGAUGAGCCUGCGUCCUAUUAGCUAGUUGGUGAGGUAAGAGCUCACCAAGGCGAUGAUAGGUAGGCGGCCUUAACGGGUGGUCGCCAACGCUGGGAUUGAGAUACGGCCCAGACUCCUACGGGAGGCAGCAGUCGAGAAUAGUCUACAAUGGGGGAAACCCUGAUAGUGCGACGCCGCGUGGAUGAGGAAGCAUUUCGGUGUGUAAAAUCCUUUUCUGUUUGAGCAAGAUAUAUAAGCAGAAAUGUUUAUAUAUUUGAUAUUAGAGCAGGAAUAAGCCACGGCUAACUCCGUGCCAGCAGCCGCGGUAACACGGGGGUGGCGAGCGUUGUCCGGAAUUACUAGGCGUAAAGGGCAAGUAGGCGGAAUAAUAAGUUAGGUGUUAAAUACACUGGCUCAACCAGUGCGUAGCAUUUAAUACUGUUAUUCUAGAGUAAGGUGAGGGAAGUCGGAAUUCCUGGUGUAGCGGUGGAAUGCGCAGAUAUCAGGAAGAACACCGGAGGCGAAGGCGGACUUCUGUACCAUUACUGACGCUGAAUUGCGAAGGUGUGGGUAUCAAACAGGAUUAGA